RNAcentral lists this ribosomal RNA (224 nucleotides) under Escherichia coli. RNAcentral's name for it is "partial 23S ribosomal RNA". It matches the Rfam family "Bacterial large subunit ribosomal RNA", at positions 2725 to 2925 of the family's 2925-position model. Lineage: Bacteria; Pseudomonadati; Pseudomonadota; Gammaproteobacteria; Enterobacterales; Enterobacteriaceae. The record is from RNAcentral.
CAUGCCAAUGGCACUGCCCGGUAGCUAAAUGCGGAAGAGAUAAGUGCUGAAAGCAUCUAAGCACGAAACUUGCCCCGAGAUGAGUUCUCCCUGACCCUUUAAGGGUCCUGAAGGAACGUUGAAGACGACGACGUUGAUAGGCCGGGUGUGUAAGCGCAGCGAUGCGUUGAGCUAACCGGUACUAAUGAACCGUGAGGCUUAACCUUACAACGCCGAAGGUGUUU